This 345-nucleotide transfer-messenger RNA is filed under the name Ulnaria ulna. Its description in RNAcentral is "10S RNA". It matches the Rfam family "transfer-messenger RNA". Rfam says of the family: Bacterial tmRNA, also known as 10Sa RNA or SsrA, is named for its dual tRNA and mRNA-like properties. The record is from RNAcentral. Lineage: Eukaryota; Bacillariophyta; Fragilariophyceae; Fragilariales; Fragilariaceae.
GGGGCUGUCUUGGUUUCGACAUUUAAAAUUGGGAAAAAUGUGAUGCAGGUCGAAGCUUGUAUUCUUCGUAAAAAUCUACAAUCAAAUAUAAUAAAUGCUAAUAAUAUCUUAUCUUUUAAUUUCAAAAAUUUAAUUUUAAACAAUAGUAAGUUCUCAAAUAAUUUAGUUUUUGCUGUUGCUUAAAAAAUAUAUUAUUUAAUUUCAAAAAUUUUUCACUAUGACUAGACGUUUUUUUGUCUAUAGUUUAGAAUAACUAUUAUAAUAUGUUCUUUUUUAGAACUAUACCUGUGAAUGAGCUUUUUUUUCACUUUUAGAUGGACGUGGGUUCAAUUCCCAUCAGCUCCA